This is a long non-coding RNA of Dendronephthya gigantea, 664 nucleotides long. RefSeq lists it as uncharacterized. The transcript is spliced from 3 exons. NCBI's taxonomy places the organism in Eukaryota, Metazoa, Cnidaria, Anthozoa, Malacalcyonacea, Nephtheidae. The record is from RefSeq and is a predicted model, not a curated record.
GGAAGUGAACAAGAUUUUUGCAGAGAUUUUCCCUGGUCAAGAGUGCAACAUGAACCGUGGAUAUGAACUUUACUGUCAGAUGUACAUUGAUUGAAAAGUGAACAAGAUAUCUGCACUGAGUGAUCAUGUGUGAAACCAAUGAUGAAACUUAAUGCUAUAACAGCUGAACCAGUCUGGCUGAUUACUAAAAUUGCUGUGGUGGUCUUACAAUGAAUAUCCACGAAAAAGACCAGAAAUUACUAUUUUAAACUUGGGAGAAAUUUUUCUGAUUUCCAUGUGAUUUAUAUUCAUCUGACACAUACAUCUGAGAUUCCUUCAAAAGAAAAGAUUGAUCGCAGUUCAUGCUCGAGAUUGAGCUCGAAAUAUUUAGUUGAAAUUUGCGGGUAAUAAAAAAAAUUAGUGAAAAACGAGAUUGUGCCUGAAAACUAUCAUAAAUAUCGUAUAAUUAGGAAGUUAGGCGGGAAAUCAGCUUGAGAAAGAAUGCCUAAGGUCGUUUUAUCAAAACUUUCAUACUCAAAUUAAAUAUACUUGAUGAAGAAAAGAAAAGUGAUAUUUUGGUUCGAAAUGAAGGUAUGCAUUACAUGUAACGUUGUUUUGAGCGUAUCGCUGCGUCUAUAUUGCUUUUUUUGUUGGUUUAAAGGGCUAUUGCAUUUAAUAUUCGCAC